RNAcentral lists this ribosomal RNA (253 nucleotides) under uncultured bacterium. RNAcentral's name for it is "partial 16S ribosomal RNA". It matches the Rfam family "Bacterial small subunit ribosomal RNA", at positions 524 to 776 of the family's 1533-position model. The record is from RNAcentral.
UACGUAGGGGGCAAGCGUUAUCCGGAUUUACUGGGUGUAAAGGGAGCGUAGGCGGUUCGAUAAGUCUGAUGUGAAAGCCCGGGGCUCAACCCCGGGACUGCAUUGGAAACUGUCAAACUAGAGUGUGGGAGAGGUAAGUGGAAGUCCUAGUGUAGCGGUGAAAUGCGUAGAUAUUAGGAGGAACACCAGUGGCGAAGGCGGCUUACUGGACCAUAACUGACGCUGAGGCUCGAAAGCGUGGGGAGCAAACAGG